Long non-coding RNA from Lacerta agilis (Sand lizard), 414 nucleotides. RefSeq lists it as uncharacterized. The transcript is spliced from 3 exons. The record is from RefSeq and is a predicted model, not a curated record. NCBI's taxonomy places the organism in Eukaryota, Metazoa, Chordata, Lepidosauria, Squamata, Lacertidae.
UCUGGAUUAAUUUAGGGAAGUAUUAUUUUCCUCAGGAAAUAAUUGGAACGUCAUUCACACUUUAAACAGAUGCUUAGCAAAAGUUGGAGCUAAAACCUGCAUUUUCUUAACCUUGACACACUUGAGCUUUCAUAUGCUCUAAUACACAGGGAGAUUGACAGCUCUCAAUGAAUAACAAUGGAGAAGUUCAUUCUGUCCCUGCUUCUACACUGCAUUAUCAUUGUGAGAUUUCUGCCAAAAAUUCUUCAGAUUCACAAGAGGACCAUCAAUAUGUUCAGAAAGUUUGAGACAAGAGAAAAAUUCACAUUGAAGGUCAUCCCUGAUAACUUGGAAUUGUGUACAUUUCAUAGCAAAAGGGGAAAAGGUUAGUCCUAACCUAAAAAAAGUGCUGUGCAAAAUACUUUGUCUCAGUCU